Molecule: ribosomal RNA, 800 nt
Filed under: Formicidae sp. NZAC 03011592
Lineage: Eukaryota; Metazoa; Arthropoda; Insecta; Hymenoptera; Formicidae
Description: eukaryotic LSU rRNA
Rfam family: Eukaryotic large subunit ribosomal RNA (bases 361-800)
Source: RNAcentral
GAUCGAACGGGGAGAUUCAUCGUCAGCGGCGCUGGCUUCGCGUCGGUGGGCGAUGUCCCGCGGAGUCCUCGCGGCUCGCGCGCGGGCACGCUACCGUGCGUCGAUGUCCGGCGCUCGUCGUCGUGCACUUCUCCCCAAGUAGAACGUCGCGACCCGCUGGGUGUCGGUCUACGGCCCGGGUGCGGUGACUGUCGCGUCGCCGGUAAAACGGCACGCGACAAACCCCCSGUCGCCCGGCCGGCUGCUCGGCGGUACGCGCAUGGUAUCAGGCCGCACUAUUUUACGGUGCGUCGAGGCCGUCGCAAGCGCGCGCCACGGUACUCGGAGGUUACGGACUUUGCGCCGUCCCCGGUCCUGGUCCGCUGUUGGUUAAAGUACGGUUCACCUUCGACAGGCCUGCGAACGUCUCUCCCCGGAGAGACCGAUACCGGUCGGCGACGCUACUGCUUUGGGUACUCUUAGGACCCGUCUUGAAACACGGACCAAGGAGUCUAACAUGUACGCGAGUCAUUGGGACUUGUCGCGAGACCUAAAGGCGUAAUGAAAGUGAAGGUCGGCCCUGGCCGUCGACCGAGGGAGGAUGGGCCGCGUCGCGAUGCSGGGCCUCGCACUCCCGGGGCGUCUCGUUCUCAUCGCGAGAAGAGGCGCACCCAGAGCGUACACGUUGGGACCCGAAAGAUGGUGAACUAUGCCUGGUCAGGACGAAGUCAGGGGAAACCCUGAUGGAGGUCCGUAGCGAUUCUGACGUGCAAAUCGAUCGUCGGAACUGGGUAUAGGGGCGAAAGACUAAUCGAACCAUC